UACGAAGGGUGCAAGCGUUACUCGGAAUUACUGGGCGUAAAGCGUGCGUAGGUGGUUCGUUAAGUCUGAUGUGAAAGCCCUGGGCUCAACCUGGGAAUGGUAUUGGAUACUGGCGGACUGGAGUGCGGUAGAGGAUGGCGGAAUUCCCGGUGUAGCAGUGAAAUGCGUAGAGAUCGGGAGGAACAUCUGUGGCGAAGGCGGCCAUCUGGACCAGCACUGACACUGAGGCACGAAAGCGUGGGGAGCAAACAGG
This 253-nucleotide ribosomal RNA is filed under the name uncultured bacterium. RNAcentral's name for it is "partial 16S ribosomal RNA". It matches the Rfam family "Bacterial small subunit ribosomal RNA", at positions 524 to 776 of the family's 1533-position model. The record is from RNAcentral.